UACGUGGGGGGCAAGCGUUGUCCGGAUUUAUUGGGCGUAAAGAGCGUGUAGGCGGCUUUACAGGUCCGUUGUGAAAACUCGAGGCUCAACCUCGAGACGCCGGUGGAAACCGUAAAGCUAGAGUCCGGAAGAGGAGAGUGGAAUUCCUGGUGUAGCGGUGAAAUGCGCAGAUAUCAGGAAGAACACCGGUGGCGAAGGCGGGUCUCUGGGCCGAUACUGACGCUGAGGAGCGAAAGCGUGGGGAGCGAACAGG
Molecule: ribosomal RNA, 253 nt
Filed under: uncultured bacterium
Lineage: Bacteria
Description: partial 16S ribosomal RNA
Rfam family: Bacterial small subunit ribosomal RNA
Source: RNAcentral